This 453-nucleotide long non-coding RNA is filed under the name Salvator merianae (Argentine black and white tegu). Its description in RNAcentral is "lncRNA (ENSSMRG00000011974.1)". Lineage: Eukaryota; Metazoa; Chordata; Lepidosauria; Squamata; Teiidae. The record is from RNAcentral.
UACUUAGGUAUUAAGUUGCAUGUUUUCUUUUCCUGUAAUUUUCAAAUUGCAUGCAAGAGUGCUAUCAAAUUUUAUUUCAGUUUUGAAGGUAGUUCUGAGGAGACUUACUCUGUUUUCUGCUUGCAGGAGGUGCUCAGCUGUUUGGACUUAGACUGGCUUUUGCUGAGGACGAGUUGGGUAUGCCUUGUGCAGCUAUUCCUACUUCACAGCUAUGGAAUUAAAAAAAUAGGUGGAAUUUUCCAAUCCAGGACGAUGAUGAGGCAACUUUAUACUGGGGUGCAUUUAUAUCAACAUGCAAAUAUUCUAGUUUUUGUAUACUGUAUUGAAGUAGGGCUCUAAAGCUUUGAGUUGGAUUUGAUUUUAUAUCAUGUGCCUUUUAGUUCAGCCUACUGUCAGUGGCACUAAUCCUAAAAUGUGAAGUUGCCAAUAAAUGUCUAGAUCUCAGGGUCUACA